UAGGGAAUCUUCGGCAAUGGACGGAAGUCUGACCGAGCAACGCCGCGUGAGUGAAGAAGGUUUUCGGAUCGUAAAGCUCUGUUGUUAGAGAAGAACGUUGGUAGGAGUGGAAAAUCUACCAAGUGACGGUAACUAACCAGAAAGGGACGGCUAACUACGUGCCAGCAGCCGCGGUAAUACGUAGGUCCCGAGCGUUGUCCGGAUUUAUUGGGCGUAAAGCGAGCGCAGGCGGUUCUUUAAGUCUGAAGUUAAAGGCAGUGGCUUAACCAUUGUAAGCUUUGGAAACUGGAGGACUUGAGUGCAGAAGGGGAGGGUGGAAUUCCAUGUGUAGCGGUGAAAUGCGUAGAUAUAUGGAGGAACACCGGUGGCGAAAGCGGCUCUCUGGUCUGUAACUGACGCUGAGGCUCGAAAGCGUGGGGAGCAAACAGG
Molecule: ribosomal RNA, 429 nt
Filed under: Bacillota bacterium
Lineage: Bacteria; Bacillati; Bacillota
Description: Firmicutes bacterium partial 16S ribosomal RNA
Rfam family: Bacterial small subunit ribosomal RNA
Source: RNAcentral